CAGUAGCCGCGGUAAUACGUAGGGCGCAAGCGUUAUCCGGAAUUAUUGGGCGUAAAGAGCUCGUAGGCGGUUUGUCGCGUCUGCCGUGAAAGUCCGGGGCUCAACCCCGGAUCUGCGGUGGGUACGGGCAGACUAGAGUGAUGUAGGGGAGACUGGAAUUCCUGGUGUAGCGGUGAAAUGCGCAGAUAUCAGGAGGAACACCGAUGGCGAAGGCAGGUCUCUGGGCAUUAACUGACGCUGAGGAGCGAAAGCAUGGGGAGCGAACAGGAUUAGAUACCCGCGUAGUCCCUGUCUCUUAUAC
RNAcentral lists this ribosomal RNA (301 nucleotides) under uncultured bacterium. Its description in RNAcentral is "partial 16S ribosomal RNA". It matches the Rfam family "Bacterial small subunit ribosomal RNA", at positions 509 to 807 of the family's 1533-position model. The record is from RNAcentral.